This 377-nucleotide RNase P RNA is filed under the name Alphaproteobacteria bacterium. RNAcentral's name for it is "RNase P RNA component class A". It matches the Rfam family "Bacterial RNase P class A". Rfam says of the family: Ribonuclease P (RNase P) is a ubiquitous endoribonuclease, found in archaea, bacteria and eukarya as well as chloroplasts and mitochondria. Its best characterised activity is the generation of mature 5'-ends of tRNAs by cleaving the 5'-leader elements of precursor-tRNAs. The record is from RNAcentral. Lineage: Bacteria; Pseudomonadati; Pseudomonadota; Alphaproteobacteria.
GCAGAUGGCCGGAUGGUCGCCGCCUGCUUUGCAGGGGGAGGAAAGUCCGGGCUCCACGGAAAUGCGAUGCCGGUUAACGGCCGGCGGGGGCGACCCCAGGGAAAGUGCCACAGAAAGCAAACCGCCCGGUUCUCCGGGUAAGGGUGAAAGGGUGCGGUAAGAGCGCACCGCGCCACUGGCAACAGGGGCGGCAUGGUAAACCCCAUCGGGAGCAAAACCAAAUAGGGACGGCCGGUGCAGGUUUUUCGCUGCACAAGCAGGUUUUCCGGGCUUGCCGUCCGGGUUGGUUGCUUGAGAUGUCCGGCAACGGGCAUCCUAGAUGAAUGAUCAUCCCCUGUUUUCAGGGACAGAACCCGGCUUAUGUGCCAUCUGCCUUA